This 1495-nucleotide long non-coding RNA is filed under the name Carica papaya (papaya). Its description in RNAcentral is "long non-coding RNA (CPAP_LNC010450)". Lineage: Eukaryota; Viridiplantae; Streptophyta; Magnoliopsida; Brassicales; Caricaceae. The record is from RNAcentral.
AUGUUCUCUACACAACAUAAUAGUAAUGAAUUCAGUCUGGAAGCUCAUCUAUAAAGGAAAUUUCUUCGUCAAAAUCUCUCUAUUAAGAUGUUAGUUCAUGAUAAUCUUAUCCUUGACAUGUUUCCUUGAGAACCCCUCUAGAAAUGCAUAGCCUUUCCUUAGUGACCCUAGGGAAAGGUUAUGGGUAAAGAAAGAGAGGCAUUUGUGUAGUCAGUCAAUCCCCCCUUUGUCUUUGCGAAAAUGAAUUCCCCAACCACCUCCUUCUAUGAUGCCUAGAGGGGAGAAGGUUAUGGGAUUUAGUUACUAGCUUGAUGGGCAUUUAUUGGAUUUGAGUGACUCUGGUUUUCUUUGAAUUACUUGCCUGCAAUGGUAUCCAGAUUGACAAUGAGGAAGAAGUUGAUUGCCCUAGCCCCUCACUCUAUUUUCCAAACCAUUUGGAGAGUGUAAUAGAAAAGUUUUUUAUGGUCUUGGAUCUAACUUUUCUAUGACCAGAGAUUGUUGGUUCCAGAAUUUGUGCAAUUUGUGCACAGGUCAUGCUCUUCAAAUGGAGAAGAUCUUGCAGACCUUUUAGACAUUUUGUUGAUCCAUGUGGAAAAGAAUGUUGGUCAGCCAUAUAUUAACCUUAAUAACAUAAAAUCUAUAUUUUCAAAACCAGAAUGAAUCUGUAUCUUUCCUGAUUACAUUGAAAUAGUCUUUCCUAAAUUAAUGGAAUUCUAUGUUUUAGGUGAUGAAUUUAGGAAAUUCAUCAUUCUCCUUAAGUCUACAUGCUGUAUAAAUUCCUUGUAUAUUCUUCAUAGUAAAGCGAAUAUUUUUUCCCAAUUUUCCUCAAUCCUUUACUGCAAAUAUUCUUGCUUUUGUACUUGUUGGGUGGCCCGCUCUUGCUGCCUUUUGUCUCGACUAUAUUUUUUCUCCUAAAAGAAGCUACCAAUUACUGAUUCCUGAUCAAUUGUGAGAUUAAAGAUAUUUACUGUCAUACCACCAAUCCAUCAAAAAGUUCAAUAGAUGACUAUUGCAAACUUUGAACUUCAAAAAAGCAGUAACCAAAUACCAGUCCUUGGUAAUCCACUUCCAUAAACUGGUUCAUAAGGUUGUCUAGUGCAGCUGGACCUCCAUCCCCAAUAAAGAUUUACUAUUACUCAUUUAUCUAAUAGCAAGACCCCCACGCAUCAAAAGGCAGUGUAUCAGGACCAGAUGGUAGAGCCUUCUUCAAAUCACCAAGAAUUGUAUUCCAAGGCAGAGCCAAGUAUUCAAAAGGCAGCAUGCAACUUUUUUUUUUUUGUCUAACUCACCAAUCUCCUUUUGUCAAAUCCUUUUUUUAAUUUUAGCUUUAUGCCAAGCAUAACAGUUUCUAUACUGUGAUUAAAUUCAUUACAAGAACAAUCUUUCACACCACUUUAUAGCAAGUGUAACCUUCAAAACCCGCCUCUGUCGGGACCAGUCAUGACAGUAAGUGCCUCAGGUGUCAGCGGGAACCUUGAGGUAUUAACAGAGGAGA